Molecule: ribosomal RNA, 116 nt
Filed under: Paraclostridium bifermentans ATCC 638 = DSM 14991
Lineage: Bacteria; Bacillati; Bacillota; Clostridia; Peptostreptococcales; Peptostreptococcaceae
Source: RNAcentral
UGGUUAUUAUAGCAAAGAGGAUACACCUGUUCCCAUUCCGAACACAGAAGUUAAGCUCUUUAGCGCCGAUGGUACUUGGUGGGAAGCUGCCUGGGAGAGUAGGAUGUAGCCACGUA